CAGCCGCCGCGGUAAUACCGGCGGCCCGAGUGGCGGCCACUAUUAUUGGGCCUAAAGCGUCCGUAGCCGGGAUGGUAAGUCCUCCGGGAAAUCUGGUCGCUUAACGAUCAGACUUCCGGAGGAUACUGCUGGCCUAGGGACCGGGAGAGGCCGAGGGUAUUCCCGGGGUAGGGGUGAAAUCCUGUAAUCCCGGGAGGACCACCUGUGGCGAAGGCGCUCGGCUGGAACGGGUCCGACGGUGAGGGACGAAGGCCAGGGGAGCGAACCGGAUUAGAUACCCGGGUAGUCCUGGCUGUAAACGAUGCGGACUAGGUGUCGGGCAAGCUAAGGGCUUGUCCGGUGCCGCAGGGAAGCCGUUAAGUCCGCCGCCUGGGGAGUACGGCCGCAAGGCUGAAACUUAAAGGAAUUGGCGGG
RNAcentral lists this ribosomal RNA (414 nucleotides) under uncultured microorganism. Its description in RNAcentral is "bacterial SSU rRNA". It matches the Rfam family "Archaeal small subunit ribosomal RNA", at positions 459 to 872 of the family's 1478-position model. The record is from RNAcentral.